Long non-coding RNA from Helicoverpa armigera (cotton bollworm), 835 nucleotides. RefSeq lists it as uncharacterized. Lineage: Eukaryota; Metazoa; Arthropoda; Insecta; Lepidoptera; Noctuidae. The transcript has 3 exons. The record is from RefSeq and is a predicted model, not a curated record.
UUUUCCUGAAAAACGAUUAUGUUGCAACUGUAUUACAAAUGCACUUUUCACUCUAUACUUAGUUGUUAUCAAGAAUAUUUCAGGUUAUUCUAACCAGUUGAAUACAAUUUUAUCUUUGCCAGACUAACGACUGGUUUUACAAACAAAAUAUAUUAUGCUAUUACUAAGGUAUUUAAGCCAAUUAUAAAAGACGAUGCAUGCUUACUUUUAAUAUCAGUAUUGGUAGACUAAAAUAAAAAGAUGUCGUUUUUUGUGGUGUUCAUAACUAUUUUGACUCUCCACCAGACUUUCACAGCAGCGCAAAUUGAAGGCAAUUCGUCUUCAAAUAAUCAAAACGCCUCGGGGAAUAUUAUUACGGGCUCAACUGUUGACGGAAAUGCACUUGUUGGCAAUACAAUAACCACUUCUACACAAAGACCAUGCGGCAUAUUACAACAAUUUGCAGCAAUAUUCCUGCCGGGCGUUUGCUAAAGUACCAAAAUACUCUAGUUAAGAAUAUAAUAUAACUUAUUGAAAGAUGACUUACUGUUGAUUAUUUGAAGAAUACUAAUGAAUAUAAAAAUAAAAUUCCAACAUCGUAACUGAGAACGUCCUCUUUUAUGGAAAUUCUCAUUAAAAAUAACUGAGUACCUUAUGAAUGACAUGAAUUUGCACACAUCUGUGUUGCUCUCAAAGUUUAUUCAGGAGACUAGCGUUCCGAGGGUCCUACUUGUCGCACCCGGAUAAAGACUAACUUAUAAUAUAUACUCCAGAAUAAAGUAGCCUAUUGCCCUAAUUCUAUUGGUAAAAUAUUUAUUUUAAUUUAAACUAACAAUUCUAAUUCUAGCUGUUUUCC